Molecule: ribosomal RNA, 465 nt
Filed under: uncultured Klebsiella sp.
Lineage: Bacteria; Pseudomonadati; Pseudomonadota; Gammaproteobacteria; Enterobacterales; Enterobacteriaceae
Description: bacterial SSU rRNA
Rfam family: Bacterial small subunit ribosomal RNA
Source: RNAcentral
CCUACGGGAGGCUGCAGCGGGGAAUAUUGCACAAUGGGCGCAAGCCUGAUGCAGCCAUGCCGCGUGUGUGAAGAAGGCUUUCGGGUUGUAAAGCACUUUCAGCGGGGAGGAAGGCGGUAAGGUUAAUAACCUUGGCGAUUGACGUUACCCGCAGAAGAAGCACCGGCUAACUCCGUGCCAGCAGCCGCGGUAAUACGGAGGGUGCAAGCGCUAAUCGGAAUUACUGGGCGUAAAGCGCACGCAGGCGGUCUGUCAAGUCGGAUGUGAAAUCCCCGGGCUCAACCUGGGAACUGCAUUCGAAACUGGCAGGCUAGAGUCUUGUAGAGGGGGGUAGAAUUCCAGGUGUAGCGGUGAAAUGCGUAGAGAUCUGGAGGAAUACCGGUGGCGAAGGCGGCCCCCUGGACAAAGACUGACGCUCAGGUGCGAAAGCGUGGGGAGCAAACAGGAUUAGAUACCCGUGUAGUC